UAUAUAUAUAUAUGUAUGUAUGUAUGUAUAUGUGUGUGUGUCCACCAGAGGACGCACAUUCACAACAAACAACCUUUCAAUGAAAAUAACUUAAAACACAUCUGUCCAAAGGGAGGAUUUACUUGUUUCAUGAGAUAUUGUUUGCUUUAUUUAAGUUAGUGUGUUGUUUUGCUCGAUAUAUAAUACUAUGUUUAUACUGUGUCUGAACCGUAAAACAUGUAAUAUGGGGGAAAAAGUUUCUUCAUCUUAUUUCUAUUUAGCUGUCAUACUCUUCUUUUGAAAUUUAAUAUAAUUUGUGAUUGUAAAACUUAGUUUAACACGAUGUUGCAGUAUCACAAACAAAGUUUGGAGAAAUGACUUGAUAUUAGCCUGUUACAGUCAUGCACCGUGUUAUUUAUUCGUGGAAAAGUAAUACAAUUUAAGGCAAAUAUCGUAUUUAAAAUAAUGCUGGAAACAGCUCCGUUUUAAAAACCAACAGAACCUCAAAGACUCAUGCUAAACAGUGGAUGUCUUCCUUUGAUCUGCCUUUUUUAGCCUUGGCCAAUGACAAACAAUUUACUAGUUGAUUGAUAUAUCUCUCAACCAAUAAGAGCCGGGGUUUCUUCUUAGGACGGUAGCUCACGUACGGCUGAUUUGCAACCCGCCGAAGCAGCAGCAGAGAAGAAGGAAAAAUGUCGCAGGCUUUGACUCGGACCGUUCUAGGAUCAGUGUCAAUUUAGGAAAAAAAUACGGAUUAAACUUCUCAUGUGUUGCUGAGUAUUUAGAGAAUCAUCACAAAUCCUUGAACAUAUAACAAUUUUAAUGGGAUUAUUUCAGUUUUAGUCAUAGAUAGAGCUAGGAGGUAUAGAUUUGUUUUAAUUUUCACCGUUUGAGAAAGUGUGCAGUGCAGGCUGGAGUUGAGGAAACCCGAAAAUAGUCAUUCUAAAACUUAUUUUCCUCAUUCAGUGAAAAGGAGAAACCUUUUAUCAAAGACAUGGACCCAUCUGGUAGUGUGUUGGGUCUGGAUGGCCAGGGUAACAUGGUUUUUACCGUGGUCAAACCAGUUAUGAGCAUUUUUCAGGUGUCUUCAGAGCAAGGCAGCGGCGUAUCACACGGGGACAUGGGAAUGCAGGGUUUAUCUGAAAAUGCAUUAGUCCCCUCUCAGGGACAGUGUCAGGCUCCGUUAGACCAGAACCAAAUAGAAAUGCACAACAUUCAACCUCAGAUGCAGAGUUCUGCACCGCUCCAGACUGAGAACGUGCCUCCACAUCAGGAGCUGCUGCCACACUUGAGCACAAAUUCUGAAUCCACCACAGAGAUUCCAUUUGCAGAGGUGUCGUCUCUCCUGGAUCCCAACAUGAAGGGAUCCAAGGCUCGGAAAUAUCUAAUCUCAUAUGAUGAGAUUAAAAGACGCCUUCAGGCCCCAGAGAAGAUGUCCCUGCGAUCCCUGGCAGCAUACACUCGUGUCAGCAGAGGCCCAGCCAGCAAGAAAACUCUCCAGGAGUCACUGAAUGUCCUCGGCCUCUCGCCAGGCACAACUACCUCUGUAUCCUCAUCGUUCUCCAAACUCACAGAAGGUGACACCAGAGCUCUGUGUGAAGAUAUGAAAGAUUUUGCACAUGACUAUGUUGACUACGGCAACAUGGCCAAGCAGCUCAUCCCUGACAUAAAUACAGUUCAACACUGGUCCAAAAUCAUAGAAACAAAGAACCACCUUGAGGAUAUGCGAAAAUGUUUCAAGGACCCAAUUAACAGCGGUGCAUUUGACAAUGUAACUCACGGUCUUGGUCUUGGAAUGUUGGACGUAGCCAUGGACAUGAUUGAUAUGGUGAUCGAUCAGCAGAUUCACAUCCUGUCUGGUGCAGCAGCAUCAGAUCCAGCUGACUCGGGUCUGCCCAUGCGUCGCAUCCGCAGGCGUCACCGCAAGAUCCGCCCUUGCGACGAGAAGUCUCAUAAAUUGUCUGGAGGCGUGAAAGAUCAUGGCAAGAUCAUAAUGAAAAGCAAGGAUCGUGCCAGAGUCAAGAAGAAGAUAACACAAGAGUCUGGAUCCUCUGGUUCCAUCGAGACCCAGACCGAGCUGGAUAAACCAGAUAAUGUAGAGAAUAAUGUCCUCACGUUGGUCUCUGUAGGUUAUGAUGCUGUUUCUACUGGUCUGAGUGCAGCGGGAGCUGUUUGACAACUGCUCAAAUGAGUAUUACACCAGUUCUGCUGCAGAGAAGAUGAUCAGGUCACAUUCUAAAGCAACAACCCUUUCAAAUGGCAAGAUGCUGCUUCACUUUGGUAAAGAAUUUCCUUUCAGCCAUUCAGACAUUGUUCAUAUUUGUGUCAUUGUUCUUUAUGGGUUAAUUCCUUUAACCCGUAAAAGUGUCAGAACCAGCUUAGUUUUGCUGUUUGACUGAAAAGCACACACACUGAGAGGUUUUGUUAACAUGUAUUGAUUCAGUUUAUUAAAUUCUACACAAGCUUUGAGUGGAUGAGUGAUGUCCACAGUGCUUGAAGCUGCUGGAAGUAUCAGCUGUUUUUUGCAGCAGCUAAUAGAACAAAUUGAUGCAUAUUUCCUGUCAGGUUAAUCGGAAGUCACUGGUGGACCUUUGGUGGAGUUUUUCCUUUAAAGAGAACUUGUAUAACGUUUGGAUCACAACAGCAGACCAGUAACUCUUGACCCAAUGGAGUCUGGUUGGUUUUGGCAAACUUCCUGUUUCUUUUUCCCAGUUCACUCGUCAUCAUCAUCAUUAUUAUUAUUAUUAUUAAGCAAAACUCAAAAACCACUAGACCCAAGCAGUUGAAGCAUCAAAGGUACUUACUGUAGUUAUACACAUUAACUGAAUUAAUCAUGCCUCACACAGCGCAACUUCAAACAAAUCUAUUCCUUUAAGACCUGUAGUGGCUUCCAUUGCUUGACCUAGAUUCAGCACAAUCCUCCCAGUGCUCUUAAAGCUUAGAGCCACACCUAGACUCCAACAUCUUCCAUCUCAUGUGCAGUAUUCAUACACAAACACCAAAGCUUAAAAAAGAGAUGAGUUAUGGUUUUAGGGUCAGGUGUGUACCAGACUAGUUCUUAGUUGAAGUAGUUUUAUUUUUUAGUUAUUACACAGACAAAAUGCAGCUACUUUUGUUUCUCCAUACAUUAAUAAAAUUAAAUAGAUUUUUCAGCCACUGUGGAGUUUUUAUAUAUGCAAGUUAUAAAUAACUGCAAUCUUCAAUGGCAUACUGAACAGCCUCUUUUAGGUUAAUUAG
RNAcentral lists this long non-coding RNA (3216 nucleotides) under Nothobranchius furzeri (turquoise killifish). RNAcentral describes it as "lncRNA (ENSNFUG00015025342.1)". Lineage: Eukaryota; Metazoa; Chordata; Actinopteri; Cyprinodontiformes; Nothobranchiidae. The record is from RNAcentral.